AUGAACGCUGGCGGUGUGGAUAAGGCAUGCAAGUCGAGCGAUUUUUAUAUGCUUCGCAAGAAAUGUAUAAGAGUAGCGGCAAACGAGCUAGUAACACAUUGGUACGUACCUCAAAGAGGGGCAUAGCUUCGAGAAAUCGGAGGUAAUUCCCCAUAAUCCCUGCGAGCAAUCGCAAGGGUAAAGUCGCAGGACGCUUUGAGAGCGGCCUAUGGCCUAUCAGCUAGUUGGUGAGGUAAUGGCUCACCAAGGCUAUGACGGGUAGGGGGCGUGAGAGCGCGACCCCCAGCGAUGGGACUGAGACACGGCCCAUACUCCUACGGGAGGCUGCAGUCGAGAAUCUUCCACAAUGGGCGAAAGCCUGAUGGAGCGACACCGCGUGUGGGAUGAAGGCCUUCGGGUCGUAAACUACUUUUUUAUGGGAAGAAGCGCAAGCUGACGGUACCAUAAGAAUAAGAGGUUGCUAACUCUGU
RNAcentral lists this ribosomal RNA (470 nucleotides) under uncultured bacterium. RNAcentral describes it as "bacterial SSU rRNA". It matches the Rfam family "Bacterial small subunit ribosomal RNA", at positions 29 to 506 of the family's 1533-position model. The record is from RNAcentral.